UAGCUAGUUGGUGAGGUAAAGGCUUACCAAGGCGACGAUCUGUAGCGGGUCUGAGAGGAUGAUCCGCCACACAGGAACUGAGACACGGUCCAGACUCCUACGGGAGGCAGCAGUGGGGAAUUUUGGACAAUGGGGGCAACCCUGAUCCAGCCAUGCCGCGUGAGUGAAGAAGGCCUUCGGGUUGUAAAGCUCUUUCGGCCGGGAAGAAAUCGCAUGGGCCAAUACCCUGUGUGGAUGACGGUACCGGAAUAAGAAGCACCGGCUAACUACGUGCCAGCAGCCGCGGUAAUACGUAGGGUGCGAGCGUUAAUCGGAAUUACUGGGCGUAAAGCGUGCGCAGGCGGUUUUGUAAGACAGGCGUGAAAUCCCCGGGCUUAACCUGGGAACUGCGUUUGUGACUGCAAGGCUAGAGUACGGCAGAGGGGGGUGGAAUUCCACGUGUAGCAGUGAAAUGCGUAGAGAUGUGGAGGAACACCAAUGGCGAAGGCAGCCCCCUGGGUCGAUACUGACGCUCAUGCACGAAAGCGUGGGUAGCAAACAGGAUUAGAUACCCUGGUAGUCCACGCCCUAAACUAUGUCAACUAGGUGUUGGGUGGGUAAAACCAUUUAGUACCGUAGCUAACGCGUGAAGUUGACCGCCUAGGGAGUACGGCCGCAAGGUUAAAACUCAAAGGAAUUGACGGGGACCCGCACAAGCGGUGGAUGAUGUGGAUUAAUUCGAUGCAACGCGAAAAACCUUACCUACCCUUGACAUGCCAGGAACUUGCCAGAGAUGGCUUGGUGCCCGAAAGGGAGCCUGGACACAGGUGCUGCAUGGCUGUCGUCAGCUCGUGUCGUGAGAUGUUGGGUUAAGUCCCGCAACGAGCGCAACCCUUGUCGUUAAUUGCCAUCAUUUAGUUGGGCACUUUAACGAGACUGCCGGUGACAAACCGGAGGAAGGUGGGGAUGACGUCAAGUCCUCAUGGCCCUUAUGGGUAGGGCUUCACACGUCAUACAAUGGUCGGUACAAAGGGUUGCCAAGCCGCGAGGCGGAGCCAAUCCCAGAAAGCCGAUCGUAGUCCGGAUUGCAGGCUGCAACUCGCCUGCAUGAAGUCGGAAUCGCUAGUAAUCGUGGAUCAGCAUGUCACGGUGAAUACGUUCCCGGGUCUUGUACACACCGCCCGUCACACCAUGGGAGCGGGUUCCGCCAGAAGUAGGUAGCCUAACCGCAAGGGGGGCGCUUACCACGGCGGGGUUCGUGACUGGGGUGAAGUCGGAACAAGGUAGCCGUAGGGGAACCUGCGGCUG
RNAcentral lists this ribosomal RNA (1287 nucleotides) under metagenome. RNAcentral describes it as "bacterial SSU rRNA". It matches the Rfam family "Bacterial small subunit ribosomal RNA", at positions 242 to 1520 of the family's 1533-position model. The record is from RNAcentral.